GAACUGACCUUUCCUUCCCCUUAUAAUUGUCCUAAGACUCUUCCCCUCUCCCUCAUUUCUCUCAUCUCCCUCACCUCUCAUCAAACCUUAGCCGUCCAAAAUCCCUCACUGGCGGCUAAGCCCCAAUCACCCCUACAAUCCCGCCUCCUUCUCAUCCCAUAUCUAUUCGUUAUUUCUUUCAGAAACCUCGAAAAUCUCUUAAUCUUUAAAUCUAGGAAAUGCUAAAACCUAGAUCCACCCCUUUUCGAUUUUUUUUCCUCAAAUCUCGGCUUGUUUGAGUGUUACAGGUUGACGUUAGUUUUGUCUCGUUUCUAGAUCGUCGGUUGCCGGUCUAUUCACCAUUGACCAACCAAAACUAUUGAGAGUCCUUUGAUGUUGACCGGAUUAUGGCUAAAAUUGUCGCAUACAACAUUAGUUAAACCCUCAAGUGUAAGCUAGUUCUUGUGUGGCGAUGCCAACUAUAGUCCGGGAUUCUUUUCUCCCCGGUCAACAAUGUUUCACAUGGUAAUCCUAUACUUCUUAGAGUUGCUAAUUCUAUGUCUUAGUUUGAUAAUUAUUAGUUUGACAUCAUGCUUAAGUUAAUUGAGAAUAAUUUAGCUUUUUGAAUAAUUAGUUGAUUUAGUUUUGCUUGAAGUUUAAUCGAUUAAUUAGGUUAUUGUUUUAAUUACGCAUGUGCUUAAUUGAUAGGUCAACUAGUUUGACGAUUGUGAUUAAUUUAUACUUGAUGGCUUAAUUUUAAUAGAUUAAUUAGUUGUUUAGUAAUAUCUUGUUUGGACGGUUGCAAAAUAAUGUUUGUUUUAAUUAUUUUAUUAAAAUUAGUUGUAUCGUAUUUUUAUCCAUAAUUGCGGAACAAUGAAAGCUCUCAUUUUUUGAAACAACUAAUUUGGUGAGGUGAGAUUGUUUCCUAUUUUUCUUUCCAAUUACGCUCUAACUUAUUACUCCAUAAUUUUAUUUACCAUUUUUUUUAUUUUAACUCCAAAUCUUCAAACUAUAACCAACUCUAUCUUCUUUCGUUUUUUCUUUUUCGAAAUAUUCUGCCGCUUCCAACUCCAACAUAAAAAAGUAUAGGUUUGCUUUCUUUUUGUUUUGUUUUCUCCUAAUGUGAUUUUAACACCAGUUCUUUGUUAAUUGCUAAUAAGUGAGUUAUUCAGCACCCAUUUUUGUGUCCCCAAGAGUUAUUUUUAUUUUUAUUUGAUAUUACAACGAUAAAAUACUAUUUUAAUCACUAAUCAAACCGAGAAAAGAAGAAAAUUUUGUAUAUUUAACACCGCAUUAACAUACUAACAAGCAUCCUCGUAGAAUCUGCCGAUACUUAUCUUUCAAUAGUUCUUAAAUUAUUUUUAUGCGUAAUUCUUGAUAAAUUUAAAAUUUAAAUAAUUAAGGGUAUCUAAUAAUCCUAUCAUAUACAGUACAACACGAAACAAUCAAAUCAAACAAUAAAAUUUUAUUUAACAAUAAUAAACAAUAUAAUUAAUUUAAAUAUUAUAUUCAUAAAACGAUAUAAUACAAUACAAUAUAUAAAACGAUGGGUAACAACCAUUCAAACAAGAUGUAAAUGUUGAUUAUGUGGGAUAAAAGAGGAUAGUAGAUGAGGCAAAGGCACUAAUUGAUAUAAUUUAAAAUUUAGGGGUAAAUGAGAUAGAAAGUUAGAGAAUCUUUCUUAUAGCUGAUGGAAAGUUCUAGAAAAGCUUGGAAGAGGUUAAAAUUCAGUAAAGGUCAAAAGGGUUAAUUUCAGAAGCAAGAGGGGAUGGAAAAAUUGGAAAAUAGGCUAAAAUACAAUUGUACAUUUUUUCAGUUGAAAAAGAUACCUUUUCCCCUAAAUUUCAGCUGACAGACUCUCUCACAUAUUCCCUGAUUUUUCUGCAUAAAAACACGUUCACAUUCUCAUUUUAUGGACACCUUUUGAUCUCUGCAGAAAUCGUAUACAUUCCCUCUCUCUAGAACUCACACGACAAAAAGAACAAGAUUUCAGUAGAAAAGUAAAAGUUUUUUUGUAAUUCCAACAAAAAAAGCAAGUUGAAGGAAAAUUAUUUUUAUUUUUAAUUCUCUGAAAGCUCACUACAAUUCUCACAAAUCUCCACAUAUAAAAUAAGUUAUUAAUAUUUCUAUUUAUAAUAGUAUGAAACAUAUUCUAAUUUAAAACAGGAAAAUAUAUUCUCAUAUUUAUUCUAACUGCAAAUCUUAUUUAGACAUUAAUUAAAUACUAAAUAAUUAAGGUUUCUUAUUACAAUUUUAAAAUAAUUUUCCAAUAUUCCCCCGUAAUUCAAAGUUGUAUACGUUUGACUUGUUCGUUGUGCAAUUAUGUUGGAUCACUUCUCUCCAACUUUCACUUUUGAUGAAGCAUGUCUUCAUCCCUCCUUAAUUAAUGCACUUUGUCACCACUAUCUGAUUUUGUUAAAGUACCUGUCUUCAACUCCAGUUGAUGCACUUUGUCACCAACCCAAUUUUGUUAAAACACAUGUCUCCAACUCACAUUGAUGCACUUUUUCACCGACUUUUCAUGCACUUUUUCACCAACAGUUGAUGCACUUUAUCACCAAUACCCAAUUUGUUAAAGCACAUGUCUUCAACUCACGUUGAUGCACUUUGUCACCAACACCUAAUUUUGUUGAAGCACAUGUCUCUAACUCACAUUGAUCACUUUGUUACCAAUACCUAAUUUUGUUGAAGUACAUGUCUCCAACUCACAUUGAUGCGCUUUGUCACCAACCGUUGAUGCACUUUGUCCCCAACACUCAAUUUUUGUUGAAGCAUAUGUCUCCAACUUUUUUAAACCUAUCCAACUUUUAGAGAAGAGUUUCUUCAUCUUGUGUCGUAUUUGUUUGUACCUCUUUAAGUUUGUUUUUUUCUUGAAUCUGUCACGAAAAUUUUAAUAGAAUAACCUAAUUUUAUCGACAACUAUCUAUGAUUUUGCCGAUAUAUUUGUGGCCAGGCCGGCGACACAAUUUGGCUAGCGUCACCCGCUGGCAGCUGAAGCUACUUGAUUCUCUCCAAGAUCGUAUGAGUUCUUAUACCAAUAUGAAGGAAAACUAUAAUAUUAUAAAUCUUUGGAAGUUCUUUACAAUUCUUACAAAUCUUUACACAUAAAAUAAGCUAUUAAUAUCCCUAUUUAUAAUAGCAUGAAACAUAUUUCAAUUAGAAACAUAAAAGAAUAUUCCUAUAUUUCUUUCUAACUGCAAAUCAUAUUUAGACAUAAAUUAAAUAAAUCAGAUUCUAAAUAAUUUAAGUUUCUUACUACAAUUUUAAAUUAGUUUUCCAACAUAAGUUUUCAGCUAUUGAUUUUGGUGUUAAUCUUCAGCUAUUUUUCUGGAUUGAGCUAUUUCUUCAUCUGUUUGAAGUUAAUUGAGAUGUUGAUACCCCUGUUGUUCAUAGAUUUCUUUCUUUCUUUUGAUUCUUGGCAGCUAGGUACGCUCUAAGUCCAUUGUAUAACGUUAUUUGGUUUUGCUUUUUAUGGCUGAAUAUGGAGUUGUUCGAUUUAAUGGACAUGUGUUAAAUUCAUGGAUUCAUGAAGACUUUAUCUAUUGCUUCUUUGCUUAUCUGUUUGGUGUUUUCAAAUGCAUAUGAAUCCAUUUAUGUUGGAAACCGUAUUUCGUUAUUUUAAUUACUGUUUGACUAAUUAGUUAUGCAAUUUAUAUGAGAGCUUAUUGAUCACGCCCAAUUAUGCCUUAUAAAAAGAAUUAAAUGGUCAUUGCAAAUAUAAUCUGAUUUACAAGUCCGGAGUCGAAUUUCACAGAGAACUAAGGUUUAGCUAGAGAUGUUCAGUAUCACAAAGAAGAUAAGCUCAAAUAAUUUCUAACUUAUAGAUAUUAAGAUUCUUGUGUUUACCUAAUUAACUAACAAAUUAAAAUAGUAAAUUAUCAACUAAAAAUACUAAGGGUUAGAGACAAGAUUCAGGAGGUCAAGAGUUAUGAUUUCCCCUAUUGUCGAAAUCUUUCCCGUUACGUUUUCUAUGAAUUCGCCUAAGUAUUCUCUACCGAUCAUGAGUGCUCUGACUUGUGACGAUUCGGCCGGUCGUUUUUGGAACUUACGCGGCGACCCCUCAUUAACUGCUUCCCUUAAGUUCGUUUCUGCUGUUUUGAUUUGUCGGGACGUUAGGUGUUGGGUCUCGGAGAGUUUUGGGACACUUAGUCCCUAAAUAAGAGCUUAAGUGUUGGAAAGUGGUCCAAAGUCAGAACAGUGUGAAGACAACCUUGAAAUGGAAAUCCGAUGGUUCCGUUAGCUCCAUUAGGUGAUUUCAGGGUUGGGAGCAUGUUCGGAAUGUAUUUUGGAAGUCCGUAGCUCAUUUAGGCUUGAAAUGUCGAAGUAUGAAUUUUUGAAUUUCCGGUCCGAUAGUGAGUCUUUUAUCCGAGGGUCGAAUAUAAUUUCGAAAGUUGCAGUAGCUUCGUCAUGUCAGUUGGGGUGUGUGUGCAAAAUUACCGGUCAUUCGGACGUUUUUUGGUUAGGUUUUUGAUCGAAAGCGUGUUUUGAUGAAAUUGGAAAGUGAAGAAAAAGGAUGGUUCUAUGCGUAUGUGUAUUGAUUAUCGCCAGUUGAACAAGGUUAUCGUGAAGAACCAUUAUCCUUUGCCUCGUAUUGAUGAUUUGUUUGACCAUCUUUAGGGUGCACAAGUGUUUCUAAGAUUGACUUGCGCUUGGGUUACCAUCAGUUGAAGAUUCGGGAGCCAGAUAUCCCGAAGACUGACUUCAGGACUCGAUAUGGCCAUUACGAGUUCCUUGUUAUGUCACUCGGGCUGACCAAUGCCCCAACAACCUUUAUGCAUUUGUUGCACAGUUUGUUCAGGCCAUAUCUCGACUCGUUCGUUAUUUUUUUAUUGAUGAUAUUCUUAUGUAUUCCUAGAGUGGGGAAGAUCAUGAGCAGCACCUGAGGACCGUGCUUCAGCUCCCGAGGGAGAAGAAGUUAUAUGGGAAGUUCUUAAAAUAUGAGUUUUGGUUGGAUUCAUUGGCAUUAUCAGGCCACGUGAUUUCAAGCGAGGGCAUUCGGGUAGAUUCGAGGAAGAUAAAUGUCGUGCAGAGUUGGCCCAGGCCCUCCUCAACUACAAAGAUUUGCAGUUUUCUUGGCUUGGUAGGUUAUUACCGUCGUUUUGUAGAGGGGUUUUCAUCAAUUGCAGCCCCUAUGACUAGAUUGACCCAGAAGGUUCCCCAUUUCAGUGGAUAGAGGAGUGUGAGGCGAGCUUUGAGAAGCUCAAGACAACUUUGACUACAGCCCGUAUUUUGAUAUUGCCUACCAGUUCAGGAUCUUAUAAUGUCUAUUGUGAUGCCUCGAGAGUUGGCCUUAGAGCGGUGUUGAUGCAGGACGGUAGGGUGCUUGCCUACAUGUCCAGACAGUUGAAGAUACAUGAGAAGAACUACCCUAUCCACGACCUUGAGUUAGCUGCUAUUGUUCAUGCCUUGAAGAUCUGGCAUCAUUAUUUAUACGGUGUCCCUUGCGAGAUUUAUAUAGAUCAUAGGAGUUUGUAGCAUUUGUUCAAGAAGAAGAAUCUAAAUUUGCACCAGAGGAGGUGGUUAGAGUUGCUAAUACAUAAUGAUAUCACUAUUCUAUAUCCCCAUCGUUAUUUGUACGGUGUGCCUUGUGAGAUCUAUACUGACCAUUGGAGUUUGCAGCACUUGUUCAAGCAAAAGGAUCUAAGUUUGCGCCAGAAGAGGUGGUUAGAGUUGCUGAAAGAUUAUGAUAUUACUAUUCUGUAUCACCCGGGCAAGGCCAAUAUGGUAGCGGAUGCCUUGAGUCGCCGGGUGGAGAGUUUGGGGAGUUUAGCUUAUUUACCAGCUUCAGAGAGGCCUAUGGUGAUGGAUGUUCAGGCCUUAGCCAGUCCGUUUGUAAGAUUGGAUCUUUCGGAGCCUAGUCGGGUUCUAGCAUGUGUGAUUUCUCGAUCUUCAUUGUUCGAUCAUAUCAUGGAGCGGCAAUAUGAUGACUCUCAUUUACUUCUCCUCAGGGACACGGUCCAGCACGACGAUGCCAGAGAGGUGACCAUUGGAGACGACGGGGUAUUGAGGAUGCAGUGCCAUAUUUGUGUGCCCAAUAUUGAUAGGCUUCGGGAGUUGAUUUUAGCAGAGGCUCAUAGUUCGUGGUAUUCCAUACAUUUAGGUGUUGCGAAGAUGUAUCAAGACUUGAGACAACACUAUCGGUGGAGGCGGAUGAAGAAGGAUAUAGUUGGAUAUGUAGCUAGAUGCCUCAACUGUCAGCAGGAAGUCAGUUCGCGAUAUUCCAUCCGUCCGGGUGCCGCGAAGAUGUUUCAGGACUUGAGACAGCACUAUUGGUGGAGGCGAAUGAAGAAGUUAUAGUUGGAUAUGUAGCUAGAUGCCUCAACUGUAAGCAGGUGAAAUAUGAGCACUAGAGACCAGGUCGAUUGCUUCAGCAAAUAGAGAUUCUGGAGUGGAAAUGGGAGAGGAUCACCAUGGAUUUUGUAGUUGGACUCCCUCGGACUGCGAAGAAGUUUGAUGCCAUUUGGGUGAUUGUGGACCGGUUGACCAAGUCUGGUCAUUUUAUCCCUGUGUGUACUACUUAUUCAUCGAAGCGGGUGGUGGAGAUUUAUAUCCAGGAGAUUGUUCGUCUGCAUGGUAUUCCAGUUUCUAUUAUUUCUUACAGAGGUACUCAGUUCACAUCACAUGUUCUGGAGAGCCGUUCAGCAGGAGUUGGGUACUCGAGAGGAUCUGAGCACAACAUUUCACCCCCAGACGGACGGACAGCCCGAGCGCACUAUACAGAUUCUUGGAAAUAUGCUUCGUGCGUGUGUGAUUGAGUUUGGAGGGUCUUGUGAUCAGUUCUUGCCAUUGGAAGAGCUUGCUUACAACAACAGUUAUCAGUCCAACAUUCGGAUGGCGCUGUAUGAGGCUUUAUAUGGUAGAAGGUGCAGGUUUCCGAUGGGUUAGUUUGAGCUGGGUGAGGCCAGGCUAUUGGGCAAAGAGUUAGUUUAGGUAUGUUCUCCAUGCUCGUUCGAGGACGAAUAAAUGUUCAAGUGCAGGAGGAUGUGACGAUCUGGCCGGUCGUUUUUGGAAUUUAUGCCCUGAUCCCCCAUUAACUGCUUCCCCUAAGUUCAUUUCUGCUAUUUGGUUUGCCAGGACGUUUAGUGUUGGGUCUCAGAGAGUUUUGGGACACUUAGUCCCUAAAUGAGAGCUUAAGUAUUGGAAAGUGGUCCGUAGUCGGAAUAGUGUAAAGAUGACCUCGGAAUGUAAAUCUGAUGGUCCGGUUAGCUCCGUUAGGUGAUUUUUGGGUUGGGAGCGUGUUCGGAAUAUAUUUUGGAAGUCCAUAGCUCAUUUAGGCUGGAAAUGCCGAAGUAUGAAUUUUGAAGUUUCGGUCCGAUAGUGAGUCUUUGAUCCGAAGGUCGGAGUAAAAUUUCGGAAGUUGCAGUAGCUUCAUCAUGUCAGUUGGGAUGUGUGUGCAAAAUUUCAGGUCACUCGGACGUGUUUUGGUUAGGUUUUUGAUCAAAAGAGCAUUUUGAUGAAAUUUGAAGUUCUUAGGCUCAAAUCCUUGAUUUAUUCGAGUUUCCGACAUUGUUUCAGGUGGUUUAAGGAUUGGUACAAGUUUGAAUAGGGUAUUAGGUGUUAUUUGUGCUUUUGGUUGAGGUCUCGGGGAUCUCGGGGAUCUCGGGAUGAUUUCGGAUGGUUGACGCGAAGAUCGGAGAAAUGUUGCACUAGUUGAAGUUUCUCUUCUAAUAUUUUCGCUUCUACGGCUUGGGAACCGCAGAAGCGGCCUUGUCAUCAUAGAAGUGGAGCCGCAUGAGAGGCUAAAAGUCCACAGAAGCGGUUGUGCCCGUUCCUUCUGAGACCGCAGAAGCGAUCUGGUACCCGCAUAAGCGGUUAUUAGUCCGCAGAAGCGGAAUUUUUGGAUUUUUGUGAAAGUCGCAGAAUCGACUCAGUUUUUGCAUAAGCAAGAACGCAUAAGCGGCCCCUUGUUCGCAGAAGCGGAAACCACUGUUCAGAAAUUGAGAUUUUGAGGGUUAGUUUUCAAAAAGUUAAAAAAAUCAAAUUGAGCUCGGGAGAGGGCGAUUUUGAGAGGGGUUUGAAGAGAAGAUCCUUGGUUUUAAUCCUUUUUAGUUAUAUUCCGUCAAUAUAUAGUUAAAUCCAUCUUUUAAAUUCGAAUUUGAGGAUCAAAUCGGGGAACUUUCUAGGCCAAAAUUUUGAGUUUUGAGCAGGUUUUUGGCAUCCGAUUUGGGAGCUUUUUAUAUUGUUAAGCUCGUGAGAGUACGAGGGUUCUGGACUACAGGACGGUAUCCUGAGAGAUCCUCAUUUGGUAUUUCGGUAUUGAGCUGUACAUUCCUGUUUUUACUCUGUUCAUCACCUAUUUAUUGUUGCCUUGUAAUUUUGUCUUAUUUCACUGUUGGUUCACACUAUUUUCAUCUGACUUCAUACUAUACAUUCUUAUUAUAUUGCUUAGUAUCAGUAGGGCCCUGACCUUCCUCGUCACUAGCCGACCGAGGUUAGGCUUGGCACUCACUGAGUAACGGUGUGGUGUACUCAUGCCUCUUCGGCACAUGUUUUUCAAGUCCAGACUCAGGUACUUCAUCUCAGGUGCACUACCCUUGAGGCUAGGAGAGCUACAGAGACUAUGAGGUACUUCUGCAGCGUUCUCAGACCCAAGAUUCUCUUUCUUUACUCUAUCUGUAGUAUUUGGACUUCUUCCGUACUUUUGCUUUAGAUAUUUUGGAAUUAGGGCCAUGUAUUGCUUUUCGUUAGCUUGUGUUCCCGUGAGUUUUCGGGUUUGAGGAUGAUAUUGUAGACUUUCAAAUUUUGAGUUGUAUAUGCCGAGUGGCCUUUAUAUACAAGUUUCUUUAGUUGUUCAGUUCUUAAUUAAUUAUUCCACAAGCUAUGU
RNAcentral lists this long non-coding RNA (8803 nucleotides) under Nicotiana benthamiana. Its description in RNAcentral is "long non-coding RNA (NBEN_LNC037473)". Lineage: Eukaryota; Viridiplantae; Streptophyta; Magnoliopsida; Solanales; Solanaceae. The record is from RNAcentral.